CUUUAAACAGCAAUUAUGUUCAUCAAAGUAAGAUCUACAAAUAAGUCAACAUGAUCAAAAUGAUCAGUUGACCCCUUAAGGAGUUAUUGCCCUUAAUAGUAAUUUUUUACCAAUUUUUCAUAAAUUUUUGUUAUCUUUUACAAAAAUCUUCUCCUCUGAAACUACUGGACCAAAUUUAACGAAACUUAGCCAAAAUUAUAAUUAGGGUAUCU
This 212-nucleotide long non-coding RNA is filed under the name Mytilus galloprovincialis (Mediterranean mussel). Lineage: Eukaryota; Metazoa; Mollusca; Bivalvia; Mytilida; Mytilidae. The record is from RNAcentral.